Molecule: small nuclear RNA, 133 nt
Filed under: Merops nubicus (carmine bee-eater)
Lineage: Eukaryota; Metazoa; Chordata; Aves; Coraciiformes; Meropidae
Description: 7SK RNA
Rfam family: 7SK RNA
About the family: 7SK was discovered as an abundant small nuclear RNA in the mid-70s but a possible function has only recently been suggested. Two independent studies have found that 7SK RNA binds the CDK9/cyclin T complex (known as elongation factor P-TEFb). P-TEFb activates transcription by phosphorylating the C-terminal domain of RNA polymerase II.
Source: Rfam by way of RNAcentral
UGGAUGUCAAGGGUACCCAGUAACCUCCAGAGUAGCUCAAGGUCCAUUUUUAGGAGAAUGUAGGGGAGUCAAGCUUCCAAGAGUGCAGACACGUCCAAGGGAGUCACUGCAUGGAGCAGCAGUGGCUUUCCUU